UGACUCUGUCAGGAACCUUCACCUAUAAGGGGUUUCUUCUGGAGGCCCAUGAGGAAGGACAGAACACCGCUGUGGGAACGUUCUCUCUCGGCAGUGGGACUGGGAUCGUUCUUGUGCCUUGCAAUAAGAUCGCAGUGAGUUACAGUUAGGGUUGUAAAAUUCCUGAAACUUUCCCAUUUGGGGGAUUCCCACCCUGCUCAUACCCUCCUGAAUCAUGAGAUCCUCCAACUGGGAUUUCUGGAAAACCAGGGACAUUUUGGGAGAGUUUCUGGAAUUUUGCAACCCUAGUUACCAUGCAGCACAGGACAUUCUGGCCAUAGUCUUCUGUUACCAAUUUACCUACUGACUAUUUGGAUUAUAUUGACUCAUCAAUAUGUCAAAUGAAACUGACUUGAGCCCACUAAUAGGAGAGUUUUUACUGGUCAGGCUACACAGUGAGGAAAUACUCCUGGCCCGGAUUAUAAUGAAUAAAGAUAAUGAAAUUACAGAGUUAGGGUUGCAAAAAUUCCGGUAACUUCCCAAAAUUACAAGCUUUUCCAGAAAUCCUAGUUGGUGGAUUCCAGAUUUCCUGCUUAAAACCUGGGUAUUUUGGGCAAGUUAAUGUAAUUUUUCAACCCUAAACAAGAGUUUGUUACCUUUACCUACUAUAGCUAGAACCACCAAUAACACUGAUCAGUGCCUUACCUUACAUGAUUGUGUACCAAAGUGAUUGUUCUCUAUUGAUUGACUUUACCUGUUGUUUUACUGUUAGGCCUCUGGGGUGAGUCAAAGCAACAAUCAGCCUAAAUCAUCAGUAACAGUCACCUGGACAGCACCAGCCUCAGCCUCCUUGGGCAACAUCGUAGUCAAGACAACAUUUAUGCAGACCUUCAGUGUAUUUUGGAUUGCAGUGCCAAGCAAGACAGUAAACCGAGUGUCCUCAGUUGUCACCACUACAAGAGCUCAAACAACACAAACUCUUGAUCCUACUACAAUAACUACUUCUCCUACUACAACAACUACUGCUCCUACUACAACUACUGCUCCUACUACAACAACUACUGCUCCUACUACAACAACUACUGCUCUGACAACAACUACUGCUCCUACUGCAACAACUACAGCUCCUACUACAACAACUACAGCUCCAUCUACAACAACUACUGCUCAUACUACAACAACUACUGCUCCUACUACAACAACUACUGCUCCUACUACAACAACUACAGCUCCGACUACGACAACUAUUGCUCCUACUACAACAACUACAGGUUCUAAUACAACAACUACAGCUCCUAUUACAACAACUACAGCUUCUAAUACAACAACUACAGCUCCGACAACAACCACAGCUUCUACUACAACAACUACAGCUCCAUCUACAACAACUACUGCUCCUACUACAACAACUACUGCUCCUACUACAACAACUACAGCUCCUAAUACAACAACAACUACAGCUCCAUCUACAACAACUACUGCUCCUACUACAACAACUACAACUCCUACUACAACAACUACAGCUCCAUCUACAACAACUACUGCUCCUAAUACAACAACUACUGCUCCAACUACGACAACCACUGCUCCGACAACAACCACAGCUUCUACUACAACAACUACUGCUCCUACUACAACAACUACUGCUCCUACUACGACAACUACAGCUCCAUCUACAACAACUACAGGUUCUAAUACAACAACUACAGCUCCUAUUACAACAACUACAGCUUCCAAUACAACAACUACAGCUCCGACAACAACCACAGCUUCUACUACAACAACUACAGCUCCUACUACAACGACUACAGCUGCUACUACAACAACUACAACUCCUACUACAACAACUACAGCUCCUAAUACAACAUCAACUACUGCUCCUACUACAACAACUACAGCUCCUAAUACAACAACUACAACUCCUACUACAACAACUACAACUCCUACUACAACAACUACAACUCCUAAUACAACAACAACUCCUACUACAACAACUACAGCUCCAUCUACAACAACUACUGCUCCUACUACAACAACUACUGCUCCUACUAUAACAACUACAACUUCUAAUACAACAACUACAGCUCCUAUUACAACAACUACAGCACCUACUACAACAACUACAGCUCCAUCUACAACAACUACUGCUCCUACUACAACAACUACAACUCCUACUACAACAACUACUGCUCCUACUACGACAACUACAGCUCCUACUACAACAACUACAGUUCCUACUACAACAACUACUGCUCCUACUACGACAACUACAACUCCUACUACAACAACUACAGCUCCUACUACAACAACUACAGCUCCUACUACAAGAAAUACAACUCCUACUACAACUACUACAGCUCCAUCUACAACAACCACAGCUCCUACAACAACAACUACAGCUCCAUCUACAACAACUACUGCUCCUACUACAACAACUACUGCUCCUACUACGACAACUACUGCUCCGACAACAACCACAGCUUCUACUACAACAACUACAGCUCCUACUACAACAACUACAGCUGCUACUACAACAACUACAACUCCUACUACAACAACUACUGCUCCUACUACAACAACUACAACUCCUACUAAAACAACUACUGCUCCUACUACGACAACUACAACUCCUACUACAACAACUACAGCUCCUACAACAACAACUACAACUCCUACUACAACAACUACAGCUCCAUCUACAACAACUACUGCUCCUACUACAACAACUACAGCUUCUAAUACAACAACUACAGCUCCGACAACAACCACAGCUUCUAAUACAACAACUACAGCUCCUACUACAACAACUACAGCUGCUACUACAACAACUACAACUCCUACUACAACAACUACACUUCCAUCUACAACAACUACUGCUCCUACUACAACAACUACAACUCCUACUACAACAACUACAGCUCCUACUACAACAACAACUACAGCUCCUACUACAACAACUACAGCUCCUACUACAACAACUACAGCUGCUACUACAACAACUACAACUCCUACUACAACAACUACAGCUCCAUCUACAACAACUACUGCUCCUACUACAACAACUACAACUCCUACUACAACAACUACAGCUCCUACUACAACAACAACUACAGCUCCUACUACAACAACUACAGCUCCAUCUACAACAACUACUGCUCCUACUACAACAACUACAACUCCUACUACAACAACUACAGCUCCAUCUACAACAACUACUGCUCCUACUACAACAACUACAACUCCUACUACAACAACUACAACUCCUACUACAACAACUACAACUCCUACUACAACAACUACAGCUCCUACUACAACAACUACAACUCCUACUACAACAACUACAGCUCCAUCUACAACAACUACUGCUCCUACUACAACAACUACAGCUCCUACAACAACAACUACAACUCCUACUACAACAACUACUGCUCCUACUACAACAACUACUGCUCCUACUACGACAACUACUGCUCCGACAACAACCACAGCUUCUACUACAACAACUACAGCUCCUACUACAACAACUACAGCUGCUACUACAACAACUACAACUCCUACUACAACAACUACUGCUCCUACUACAACAACUACAACUCCUACUACAACAACUACUGCUCCUACUACGACAACUACAACUCCUACUACAACAACUACAGCUCCUACAACAACAACUACAACUCCUACUACAACAACUACAGCUCCAUCUACAACAACUACUGCUCCAACUACAACAACUACAGCUUCUAAUACAACAACUACAGCUCCGACAACAACCACAGCUUCUACUACAACAACUACAGCUCCUACUACAACAACUACAGCUGCUACUACAACAACUACAACUCCUACUACAACAACUACAGCUCCAUCUACAACAACUACUGCUCCUACUACAACAACUACAACUCCUACUACAACAACUACAGCUCCUACUACAACAACAACUACAGCUCCUACUACAACAACUACAACUCCUACUACAACAACUACAGCUCCUACUACUACAACAACUACAACUCCUACUACAACAACUACAGCUCCAUCUACAACAACUACAACUCCUACUACAAUAACUACAGCUCCUACUACAACAACUACAACUCCUACUACAACAACUACAGCUCCAUCUACAACAACUACUGCUCCUACUACAACAACUACAACUCCUACUACAACAACUACAGCUCCAUCUACAACAACUACUGCUCCUCCUACAACAACUACAACUCCUACUACAACAACUACUGCUCCUACUACGACAACUACUGCUCCUACUACAACAACUACUGCUCCUACUACGACAACUACUGCUCCGACAACAACGACAGCUUCUACUACAAAAACUACAGCUCCUACAACAACUACUACAGCUCCAUCUACAACAACUACUGCUCCGACAACAACAACUGCUCCUACUACAACAACUACAGCUCCUACUACAACAACUACAACUCCUACUACAACUACUACAGCUCCAUCUACAACAACCACAGCUCCUACAACAACAACUACAACUCCUACUACAACUACUACAGCUCCAUCUACAACAACUACUGCUCCUACUGCAACAACUACUGCUCCUACUACGACAACUACUGCUCCGACAACAACCACAGCUUCUACUACAACAACUACAGCUCCUACUACAACAACUACAGCUGCUACUACAACAACUACAACUCCUACUACAACAACUACAGCUCCUAAUACAACAACAACUACAGCUCCAUCUACAACAACUACUGCUCCUACUACAACAACUACAGAUCCUAAAACAACAACUACAGCUCCUACUACAACAACUACAACAACUAAAGAUCCUAAAACAACAACUACAGAUCCUAAAACAACAACUACAGCUCCUACUACAACAACUACAACAACUAAAGAUCCUAAAACAACAACUACAGAUCCUACUAAAACAACUACAACUUCUAAUACAACAACUACAGCUUCUAAUACAACAACUACAGCUCCUAUUACAACAACUACAGCUCCUACUACAACAACUACAGCUCCAUCUACAACAACUACUGCUCCUACUACAACAACUACAACUCCUACUACAACAACUACUGCUCCUACUACGACAACUACAGCUCCUACUACAACAACUACAGUUCCUACUACAACAACUACUGCUCCUACUACGACAACUACAACUCCUACUACAACAACUACAGCUCCUAAUACAACAACUACAGAUCCUAAUACAACAACUACUGCUCCUACUACAACAACUACAACUCCUACUACAACAACUACAACUCCUACUACAACAACUACAGCUCCUACUACGACAACUACUGCUCCGACAACAACCACAGCUUCUACUACAACAACUACAGCUCCAACUACAACAACUACAGCUGCUACUACAACAACUACAACUCCUACUACAACAACUACAGCUCCAUCUACAACAACUACUGCUCCUACUACAACAACUACAACUCCUACUACAACAACUACUGCUCCUACUACGACAACUACAACUCCUACUACAAAAACUACAGCUCCUACAACAACAACUACAGCUCCAUCUACAACAACUACAGCUCCUACAACAACAACUACAACUCCUACUACAACAACUACAGCUCCAUCUACAACAACUACUGCUCCUACUACAACAACUACUGCUCCUACUACGACAACUACAACUCCUACUACAACAACUACAGCUCCUAAUACAACAACAACUACAGCUCUUACUACAACAACUACAACUCCUACUACAACAACUACAGCUCCAUCUACAACAACUACUGCUCCUACUACAACAACUACAGAUCCUAAAACAACAACUACAGCUCCUACUUCAACAACUACAAAAACUAAAGAUCAUAAAACAACAACUACAGAUCAUAAUACAACAACUACUGCUCCUACAACAACAACUCCUACUACAACAACUACAGCUCCAUCUACAACAACUACUGCUCCUACUACAACAACUACUGCUCCUACUAUAACAACUACAACUUCUAAUACAACAACUACAGCUUCUAAUACAACAACUACAGCUCCUAUUACAACAACUACAGCUCCUACUACAACAACUACAGCUCCAUCUACAACAACUACUGCUCCUACUACAACAACUACAACUCCAACUACAACAACUACUGCUCCUACUACGACAAUUACAGCUCCUACUACAACAACUACAGUUCCUACUACAACAACUACUGCUCCUACUACGACAACUACAACUCCUACUACAACAACUACAGCUCCUACUACAACAACUACAGCUCCUACUACAACAAAUACAACUCCUACUACAACAACUACUGCUCCUAAUACAACAACUACAGCUCCUAAUACAACAACUACAGCUCCUAAUACAACAACUACAACUCCAUCUACAACAACUACAGCUCCAUCUAAAACAACUACAACUCCAUCUACAACAACUACUGCUCCAUAUACAACAGCAACUGCUCCUACUACAACAACUACAGCUCCUACUACAACAACUACAGCUCCUACUACAACAACUACAGCUCCUAAAACAACAAAAACCACAGCUCUUACUACAACAACCACAGCUCCUACCACAACAACUACACCUCCUACUGCAACAACAACAGCUCCUAAUAGAACAACUACUGCUCCUAAUACAAUAACUACUUCUCCUUCAACAACAACUACAGCUCAAAAUCCAACAACUACAGCUCCUACUAUAACAACUACAGCUCCUAAUACAACAACCACAGCUCCAUAUACAACAUCUGAUGCUCCUAAUACAACAACUGCUCCUCCUACAACAAAUACCUCUAAUACUGAAAAAACUACAGCUCCUAAUAAAACAAUUACAGCUCCUACUACAACAUCUACAGCUCCUACUACAACAACUACAGCUCCUAACACAACAAUUACAGAUCCUACUCCAACAACGACAGCUCCUACUACAACAACUACAGCUCCUACUACUACAAAAACUACAGCUCAUACUACAGCAACUACUGUUACUAAUACAACAACUAUAGAUCCUACUACAACAACUACAGAUCAUACUACAACAAAUACGGCUCCUAAUACAACAACUACAGCUCCAACCACAACAACUACAGCUCCAACAACAACAACUACAGCUCCUACUAUGGCAACCACAUCUCCUAAUACAGCAACUACAGGGCCUAAUUCAAAAACUACUGCUCCUAUUAUGGCAGCUACAGCUCCUAUUACAACAACUACAGCUCAUACUACAACAACUACAGCUCCAACUACAACAACUACAGCUCCUACUACAACAACAGCAGCUCCUAAUAUAACAUCUACUGCUCCUACAUCAUCAACUACAGCUCCUAAUACAAUAACUACAGCUACUCAAACAACAACUGCAGCUCAUACUCAAACAAAUAAAGCUUUUAAUACAACAACGACAGCUCCAAAUUCAACAACUACAGCUCCUAAUACAACAACUACAACUCCAACUACAACUCCAGCUCCUAAUACAACAACUACAGCUUCUACUACAACAACUACAACUCCUACAACAACAACCACAGCUCCUAAUACAACAACUACAGCUCCUGAUACAACAACUACAGCUCCUAAUACAACAGCUACAGCUCCAACUACAACAACUACAGCUCCUAAUACAACAACUACAGCUCCUAAUACAACAACUACAGCUCCUAAUACAACAACUACAGCUCCUACAGCAACAAACACAGCUCCUAAUACAACAACUACAGCUUCUAAUUCAACAACUACAGAUCCAAAUAAAAUAACCACAGCUCCUUCCUCAAGCUGUGGAAAACCUCUUUUACACGGCCUGUUGAUGACAUUGGUCUGCUGGAACCUCUUCAACCUUCUGCCUUAAACCUGCUGAACCACCCAAGGAGGACUUUACAGCCAAGUUCAACAUUUUAUUUAUUUGGCCAUUUUUGUUCAAUAACACUGUAUUUUGUUAUAUACUGUAGUCGUGAAUAUUUAUUCAUACACUGCGUGCACAAUUAUUAGGCAAAUUGUAUUCUUCGGCAUUCAUUUUUUUGUUGAACAAACACAAUGCUCUCAUUCAAUCCAAAAUGUUAUUGAACCUCAAACCUGAAUGUUUAACAAAGGAAAAGUGAGUUUUGUCUUUCUCAGGGAAAUAUAUAAGUGUGCACAAUUAUUAGGCAGCUAUUAGUGUGCACAAUUAUUAGGCAACUAAAUUACAAAAAUAAUUUCUCUCAACUCACUUGUUUAUUCUCAAUUUUUAGAGUAAGUGUAACAGAUAAGUAACACAAAAGGACAAUUAUAUAACAUUUUUGGCCUUUCAAAAAUAUGCAGUGACCAAAAUAGCCACCCUUAUUUUCAAUAACUGCCAUGAGCCUUCCAUCCAUGGAGUCUGUCAGUUUCUUGAUCUGUUCACAAUCAAUUUUCGCUGAAGCAGCAACCACAGCCUUCCAAAUGCUGUUCAAAGAGGUGUAUUGUCUUCCAUCACUGUAAAUCUCGCGUUUGAGAAGGGCCCACAAGUUCUCAAUAGGAUUUAAGUGGUUCUCCCCAGACCUGACUGCCCUUAACCAACACAAAAAUAUCCUGUGGCGUUCUGCAUUAGCAUCGAACUGCCCCCGCGAUAUGCAACUUUUUAGGGAAGUUAGAAACCAAUACACGCAGGCAGUUAGAAACGCCAAGGCUAGCUUUUUCAAACAAAAAUUUGCUUCGUGCAACUCCAACUCUAAAAAGUUCUGGGACAUUGUAAAGUCCAUGGAGAAUAAGAACACCUCCUCCCAACUGCCCACUGCACUGAGGAUAGGAAACUCUGUCACCACCGAUAAGCCCACUAUAAUUGAGAAUUUCAAUAAGCAUUUUUCUACGGCUUGCCAUGCUUUCCACCUAACUACCCCUACUGCAUUCAACAGCACUGCACCCCCCACAGCUACUCGCCCAAACCUCCCCCAUUUCUCCUUCUCCCAAAUCCAUUCAGCUGAUGUUCUGAAAGAGCUGCAAAAUCUGGACCCCUACAAAUCAGCUGGGCUUGACAAUCUGGACCCUUUCUUUCUAAAAUUAUCUGCCGAAAUUAUUGCAACCCCUAUUACUAGCCUGUUCAACCUCUCUUUCGUGUCGUCUGAGAUUCCCAUAGAUUGGAAAGCAGCUGCUGUCAUCCCCCUCUUCAAAGGAGGUGACACUCUUGACCCAAAUUGCUACAGACCUAUAUCCAUCCUACCCUGCCUUUCUAAGGUCUUCGAAAGCCAAGUCAACAAACAGAUUACCGACUAUUUCGAAUCCCACCGCACCCUCUCCGCUAUGCAAUCUGGUUUCAGAGCUGGUCAUGGGUGCACCUCAGCCAUGCUCAAGGUCCUAAACGACAUCGUAACCGCCAUCGAUAAGAAACAAUACUGUGCUGCCGUAUUCAUUGACCUGGCCAAAGCUUUCGACUCUGUUAAUCACCACAUCCUCAUCGGCAGACUUAGUAGCCUUGGUUUCUCAAACGAUUGCGUCGCCUGGUUCACCAACUACUUCUCUGACAGAAUUCAGUGUGUCAAAUCGGAGGGCCUACUGUCUGGACCUCUGGCAGUCUCUAUGGGGGUACCACAGGGUUCAAUUCUUGGGCCAACUCUUUUCUCUGUAUACAUAAAUGAUGUCGCUCUUGCUGCUGGUGAAUCUCUGAUCCACCUCUACGCAGACGACACCAUUCUGUAUACUUCUGGCCCUUCUUUGGACACUGUGUUAACAACCCUCCAGACGAGCUUCAAUGCCAUUCAACUCUCCUUCCGUGGCCUCCAACUGCUCCUAAACACAAGUAAAACUAAAUGCAUGCUCUUCAACCGAUCGCUGCCUGCACCUGCCUGCCCAUCCAGCAUAACUUCUCUGGACGGUUCUAACUUAGAAUUUGUGGACAACUACAAAUACCUAGGUGUCUGGUUAGACUGUAAACUCUCCUUCCAGACUCACAUCAAUCAUCUCCAAUCCAAAGUGAAAUCUAGAAUUGGCUUCCUAUUUCGCAACAAAGCAUCCUUCACUCAUGCUGCCAAACAUACCCUCGUAAAACUGACCAUCCUACCAAUCCUCGACUUCGGCGAUGUCAUUUACAAAAUAGCCUCCAAUACCCUACUCAACAAGCUGGAUGCAGUCUAUCACAGUGCCAUCCGUUUUGUCACCAAAGCCCCAUAUACAACCCACCACUGCGAUCUGUAUGCUCACGUUGGCUGGCCUUCACUUCAUAAUCGUCGCCAAACACAUUGGCUCCAGGUCAUCUACAAGACCCUGCUAGGUAAAGUCCCCCCUUAUCUCCGCUCACUGGUCACCAGAGCAGCACCCACCUGUAGCACGCGCUCCAGCAGGUAUAUCUCUCUGGUCACCCCUAAAGCCAACUCCUCCUUUGGUCGUCUCUCCUUCCAGUUCUCUGCUGCCAACGACUGGAACGAACUACAAAAAUCUCUGAAAUUGGAAACACUUAUCUCCCUCACUAGCUUUAAGCACCAGCUGUCAGAGCAGCUCACAGAUCACUGCACCUGUACAUAGCCCAUCUAUAAUUUAGCCCAAACUACUACCUCUUCCCCUACUGUAUUUAUUUAUUUUAUUUAUUUUGCUCAUUUGCACCAUAUUAUUUAUAUUUGAACUUUCUUCAAACUACAAAUCUACCAUUCCAGUGUUUUUCUUGCUAUACUUUAUUUACUUUGCCACCAUGGCAUUUUUUUGCUUUUACCUCCCUUAUCUCACAUCAUUUGCUCACAUUGUAUAUAGUCUUAUUUUUUUUCUACUGUAUUAUUGACUGUAUGUUGUUUACUCCAUGUGUAACUCUGUGUUGUUGUAUGUUGUCGAACUGCUUUGCUUUAUCUUGGCCAGGUCGCAAUUGUAAAUGAGAACUUGUUCUCAACUUGCCUACCUGGUUAAAUAAAGGUGAAAUAAAUAAAUAAAUAAAAAAUAAAUAAAAUAAAAAGUCAGGUGAGGAAGGGGGCCAGGUCAUUAUUCAGGCAUCUUUAAGGCCCUUGCUGGCUAGCCAAGCAGUGGAGUACUUGGAUGCAUGUGAUGGAGCAUUGUCCUGCAUAAUGAUCAUGGAAUGAUCAUCAUCUAGAAUGCUGAGGACUUCUUCCUGUGCCACUGUUUGACGAAAGAAUCUUCCAGAAACUGGCAGUAUGUUUGGGAGUCAAGAAUCUUCUUGACCUUGGCCAUGUCUCUGAGCACUUGACACCUUGUACUUCUGAACACUCCAGGUAGGUUGCAGUUCUGGAAUACAGUGACACUGGAGGAUAAUGGGUUCCUGGUAGUUUGACGUUUAAUUCUUCUCAAGUCUUUUGCAGUUAAUUUGCACCGUUUCUUCCCCAUGUGUUUUUUUUAGUUUAGCUGAAAGACAUUUUACAUUUUUGGUUUUUCAGUGUCAGUUAAAUUUAUUUUUUGGCCCAUUUUACCUGAGGUAAUGAGGCUGCCUAAUAAUUAUGCACACCUUGAUAUAAGGUGUUAUUCACUUUCACCACACCCUCCCUCAUUACACAAAUACAUAUCACCUGAAAAUUAUUAAAUCCAAUAAGCAUUCAAGUUUAUAUGGUUUGGAGUUCGAAAAUGUGAAUAGAAACAAUGAUAAGAUCAGAAUACUCACUUGCCUAAUAAUUGUGCACACAGUGUAUAUAUAUGUGUGUAUCUUUUCUCCUGUGAAUAAUGUUUUGUUUAUUUAAAUGUUUUUAUUAUUUGUUGAAAUGUACAUAACAUAGAAUAUAGAACUAUUCCAAAAUACCAAUCCAAUCCCAGUAUAUACAUAUCAAUUUCACGCCCUGACCAUAGAGAGCCUUUUUAUUCUCUAUUUUGGUUAGCUCGGGGUGUGACUAGGGUGGGUAAUCUAGGUUGUUUAUUUCUAUGUUGGUCUGGUAUGGUUCCCAAUCAGAGGCAUCUGUUUUUCGUUGUCUCUGAUUGGGGAUCAAAUUUAGGCAGCCAUUUCCCCACUGUGUUUUGUGGGAUCUUGUUUGUUUAUGUGUAGUUGCCUGUGAGCACUUAAUUUACUUCACGUUUCGUUCGUUCUUCAUUGUUUUUGUGCAUUUCAUUUAAUAAACAUGUGGAACCCAUAUCACGCUGCGCUUUGGUCUGAAUGUUCUUACGACGAUUGUGACAGAAGAUCCCACCAAACCAGGACCAAGCAGUGUGCCCAGGAGGAGAAGGUAUCCU
Molecule: long non-coding RNA, 12072 nt
Organism: Salmo trutta (river trout)
Lineage: Eukaryota; Metazoa; Chordata; Actinopteri; Salmoniformes; Salmonidae
Source: Ensembl